RNAcentral lists this ribosomal RNA (883 nucleotides) under uncultured bacterium. RNAcentral describes it as "bacterial SSU rRNA". It matches the Rfam family "Bacterial small subunit ribosomal RNA", at positions 26 to 896 of the family's 1533-position model. The record is from RNAcentral.
UGAUGCCGACCGCUGGCGGCAUGUCUAACACAUGCUAGUCGAACGGUAACGCUGGGAGCUUGCUCCCAGGCGACGAGUGGCGGACGGGUGAGUAAUGCUUAGGAAUCUGCCCGGUAGUGGGGGACAACUCGGGGAAACCCGAGCUAAUACCGCAUACGCCCUAUGGGGGAAAGCGGGGGCUCUUCGGACCUCGCGCUAUCGGAUGAGCCUAAGUCAGAUUAGCUGGUUGGUGGGGUAACGGCUCACCAAGGCGACGAUCUGUAGCUGGUCUGAGAGGACGAUCAGCCACACUGGAACUGAGACACGGUCCAGACUCCUACGGGGGGCAGCAGUGGGGAAUAUUGCACAAUGGGCGCAAGCCUGAUGCAGUAAUGCCGCGUGUGUGAAGAAGGCCUGCGGGUUGUAAAGCACUUUCAGUAAGGAGGAAAAGUUGUCGGUUAAUACCCGGCGACCUUGACGUUACUUACAGAAGAAGCACCGGCUAACUCCGUGCCAGCAGCCGCGGUAAUACGGAGGGUGCGAGCGCUAAUCGGAAUUACUGGGCGUAAAGCGCGCGUAGGCGGUCUGGUCAGUCGGAUGUGAAAGCCCCGGGCUUAACCCGGGAACUGCGUUCGAUACUGCCAGACUGGAGUAUGUUAGAGGAAAGCGGAAUUCCCGGUGUAGCGGUGAAAUGCGUAGAUAUCGGGAGGAACAUCAGUGGCGAAGGCGGCUUUCUGGAUCAAUACUGACGCUGAGGCGCGAAAGCGUGGGGAGCAAACUGGAUUAGAUACCCUGGUAGUCCACGCCCUAAACGAUGUCAACCAGCCGUUGGGUUUCAUUUAAGGAUUCAGUGGCGCAGCUUACGCGUUAAGUUGACCGCCUGGGGAGUACGGCCGCAAGGUUA